Molecule: ribosomal RNA, 380 nt
Filed under: uncultured bacterium
Lineage: Bacteria
Description: bacterial SSU rRNA
Rfam family: Bacterial small subunit ribosomal RNA
Source: RNAcentral
UUGUCCGGAAUUACUGGGCGUAAAGGGUGCGUAGGCGGUCUAUUAAGUUGGAUGUGAAAUCCCCGGGCUUAACUUGGGGUCUGCAUCCAAUACUGGGAGACUAGAGUGCAGGAGAGGGAAGCGGAAUUCCUAGUGUAGCGGUGAAAUGCGUAGAUAUUAGGAGGAACACCAGUGGCGAAGGCGGCUUUCUGGACUGUAACUGACGCUGAGGCACGAAAGCGUGGGGAGCAAACAGGAUUAGAUACCCUGGUAGUCCACGCUGUAAACGAUGAAUACUAGGUGUAGGGGGUAUCAACUCCCCCUGUGCCGGAGCAAACGCAAUAAGUAUUCCGCCUGGGGAGUACGGCCGCAAGGUUGAAACUCCGAGGAAUUGACGGGGG